GCCCAGGUAGCUCAGUCGGUAGAGCAGGGGACUGAAAAUCCCCGUGUCGGCGGUUCGAUUCCGUCCCUGGGCACCA
Molecule: transfer RNA, 76 nt
Filed under: Desulfatiferula olefinivorans
Lineage: Bacteria; Pseudomonadati; Thermodesulfobacteriota; Desulfobacteria; Desulfobacterales; Desulfobacteraceae
Also listed under: 8 other names
Description: tRNA-Phe
Rfam family: tRNA
About the family: Transfer RNA (tRNA) molecules are approximately 80 nucleotides in length. Their secondary structure includes four short double-helical elements and three loops (D, anti-codon, and T loops).
Source: RNAcentral